Non-coding RNA from Pelobates cultripes (western spadefoot toad), 385 nucleotides. The record is from the annotation of a GenBank genome assembly. Lineage: Eukaryota; Metazoa; Chordata; Amphibia; Anura; Pelobatidae.
AGGAGAUGCUAUUGAAAAAUUGUCUGCAGAACAGGAACAAGCUUCAGCUAUGAUUAUGCAAAAUAGGUUUGCCCUAGAUUAUUUGUUGGCCUCCAAAGGUGGUGUUUGUGCACUAAUAAAAACAAGAUGUUGUUUAAAGAUAGAUAAUGUUACUGGUCAGAUUCAUACAGAUGUAGAAUUAAAUUAAACUUAGAGAAGUUCACGAUACUUCUUCGGGAGGUUUAAAUUGGGGUUUUGACUGGAGUUUUGGUUUAACUAAUUGGUUGGGAACAAUGGGAAAACGUAUUCUCAUUGGAGUUAUUUUAGUAGUAUUGAUGCUUGUCUUUAUAUAUGUUGCAGUGAAUGUCCUAAAGUGUUCGUGCCGAUUAAUCCUCAAGAGCUGUUC